Molecule: long non-coding RNA, 1684 nt
Filed under: Eucalyptus grandis
Lineage: Eukaryota; Viridiplantae; Streptophyta; Magnoliopsida; Myrtales; Myrtaceae
Description: long non-coding RNA (EGRA_LNC004539)
Source: RNAcentral
GUUAUUUGCUUUAGUUUGUCUUUCUUUUCUCUUUGUCCUCCGAUAAUUGUUAUAUAACAGAUUCUUUUUUAAUCCAUUAUUUAUAAAAAAAAAAAAAUUCCUGUGACUUUUGAAACCCACAAUUUCAACCAAACAUUUUUACUUGAAAAUAAAAACAACAAUUUAUUAUCCAGAGAGAAAGCAGUGAAUAAAGUUUACAUAACAACAACUCGAAUUUGAUCAACUGCCACACUCGGACAUUUUCAAACUUGGCUUGUAUACCACAUGGUUCAUAAAGGUCUAUAUAAUUAAAUCCAUAACACCAACAGAGCAGCAAAGAGUAGCAAUCAGUAAGUGAGGAAAGCGACAACUUCGACAUAUGAACGACCUGCAAACCAUAGAGGGUUUCUCUGCACCUAAACAAUUAGGCUACAUGCAUCUUGAACACCUCAAGCUAGAAAAUAAACCCGGACAUGCUCAGCUCAGAUGACAAUUCAGCAACAUAUUAGAAGGGGUAUCUAAUUCGAUGAGAGCAGAGCAAACCAAUGCACUAAAGGAACGAGGGCUCUUGGCCAUCAAAGGAUGAAUUAGGAGCUACGUCGCCAGCUCAACAUACCAAGCAGUAACGUACAUGUAACACUACAUAAUUCUCAAAUCAAUCACUGAGAUUCGCACCAGUAACUAUCUUCCAACAUGGAAGGGGAAGGGGGAGAUGAGAGAUUUAAAUUCUCACAUUUUCAGGGGAGGGGAUGGAGACAUGUAACGGGUUUCGAAAGUCUGAGAGUGAGUGUAAAGUAGGAAUAGGGUAGGACUAACCAAAAAAAAUUCUCAAAUCAAUGCUAAUGUCUUUGGGGCAAAUUGUUGAACAGGUGGUGAACGCGAACUGCAAGAGGUUCGGUAGUUCAGUAGACAGAUACAUUCAAUGAACCGGCAUGACGUGAGAUAGUUAUUCAAAUGAAUCGACAAAUUCGAAGGCAAACGAAGAACGAUCCAACGUCGGAGUGCUCUCAACAGAAGAGAAACAGAACUUCCUAGGAUGAUUACUUGGGAUCGGCUACAGUGACGCGCGACUUGAAUCGUGGGGGCGGAAGAGAGCCGUGACAAAGUGGAGAACGCACUCACUGGAAAUGAAGUGCGCCGAUUGGGGGUAGGAUGGUCGUCGGCGUGGCGCGGCGCAAUCAAUGAGGGCCUAGGAUUGAGGACGGAGUUGGAGUCGACGGCAGCGAGUAGACAAAGUGGACGCUUGCGAGUGGACGGAGUGGAUGCUGCCGAGAGGAGUCGUCGACUGCAAGGAGGACGAUGUCAGAGUCGACGGCGAGGUGAGCGACGAUGUGACCGCCGAGAGGAUGGAGUUGGAGUCGCAGUUGACGGCGAGAUGAGCGACGAUCUGACCGGCAAGAGGACGGUGACGGCAGGGAGGGCCGCGGUUCCGAUCUCGGAGACGACCCCGAGAUGGGUUCGACGCGAUCGGAUCCGGCAGAGUCGUCGACUGCAGGGAGGACGAAGUCAGAGUCGACCGCCAGGUGACAGACGACGUCACCGGCGAGAGGACGGAAUUGCAGUCGACCCCGAGGAUGGACAGCUUCGGAGUCGACGGCGCUAGGGCUUUUGGUUGAAGCGUUAAGGAGAGAAGGAACGCCCCCGUCUGGUUAACGAAGAAGAUGCCCAAAUUGGAGAAAAGAAGAAACGACCCGUACGAUAAAAU